UGAUCGGAUCGGCAAAGCGUGUUUCUGGAAUAUUAUGUUUUUGUUGCUGCAAGCGCUUUUUAUGCAGUUUUUGCAAAGCUAUAUGUGGAAGAAAACCGUGACCUAGGACAAGCUGAUGGCAUAAGAUGGGAAAACUAGUACACUCUGCAGUCUUUGAUGCUAAAAUGACAUCACAGCAUUUAAACAUCUUUUGAAUGAAAACAUCAGCAUAUGAAAACAAAACUGCAGAGACACUGCAACUGCAUGAAAGAAGAGGACUAUUUAGUGAAAUUUCUACGUUUCCCUGAGGAUUAACUGCUCUGUAAUUUACCAAGAACUAAAACAAAAUGAGUGGAAGAGGAGAUGGAUCACACAAUAACCGUAAUGGCCAACAGGUUAACCCAGAAAAUCUUCCAAGCGGAGAUCAGGAACCAGCUUAUGAACCUCAUGGUGGACGCCUUGGCUUACUGAACAAUCUUUAUCGUGUUCUCUGUAAUAUUUUUUGGAGGAUGAAUGAAUUAUUAGAUGAAUUAUAUGCAUCAGAUGAUGACCUUGGCAUUGACUUUGACAAUGUCAAUGACGGCAAUGUCAACAAUGUAAACAUUCCCAAUAUUAAUGUAAGGGACAAUAAUGCCAAUGAACUGCAUGAUGAUCAAAAUGCUGUUAUUGUUGGCAUUGAAAAUGAGGAUUCUGAUGAGGCAUUUGAAGACUGUGAGGAUGUUCACCAGUACAUCCCAGAAGAGGACCCUCAGCCAGGUGUAUCCAGGAGGAGGUCUAGAGAGAUGGAUGAAGAAGAUGUGGAACCAAGCAAAAGAAUCAGAUGGAGCGAGGAGUUUUCUGAUGACGACUCUGACUUCAUCUCUGCUUGUGACACUGAUAGCGAGGGCUGUCCUCAUGUUGGUAAUAUUGCUGAUGAGGACAUCAAAGAACCGCUGCCUGGUGGAUCCACGAAAAGAUCCAGAGAGGAAGAUGUAGAUGAAGAAGACCAUAAUAGCAAAAAAUCCAGGCUUUCAAACAGUAGUGAUGAACUUUUUGAAGAUGCACUUGAAGAGCUUGACAACCAUGAAGCUGGAGGCUCGAGGAAGCGGUCCAGAGACGAUUUUGAGGAAGAAGAGGAAUAUGUGCGUGUUUGCAAAUUUCGGAGGAGUUCAAAUGAGUCCACCAGCACCAGUGAUGACAACUAACACUAUUUCGACGGGUUUUUUCAGUAUCCUUUUAGAAGGCUGAUGGCCUACUCAGCUGACUCUUAAUCUUCCUCCUAUUGUUAUGCUGCAAUAAGCUGGGCAUACACUGUGCGAUUUUUUUUCAGUUGCGUUAUUCAGCUACUGCUCAAACUGCACGAUUGACUCGCAGGGGUUCGUAGGUCACGAUGCAGGGUCUCACGCUAUACGGCCCGAUGCUCUGUGCGACCUGAGUGCUCACACUGUGCGUCCAUAGCAUGAAGGUUAUAACACAAAAUUGUACACUAUUUUCACGGUUGUUGCGGUCGUGAUAAUUUUGUGAGGCCACAUCGAAAAGGCUCGGAUGAGCUUGCCAAAGUUCUACAAGUUGUGCCUCCAUCGCUUGUGUCCUGAUCGCGCGCUGCACUGCCGUGCUGCUCCGUCUUUUCACUUUCAUUUCUGUGUUUGUGCGUGCGCAGUGUGAGACGCUGCGUUGACACCCUCACAACGGCCGACAGGAUUUCAAACAGGUUUCUCGUUAUCCGAUGUAUACGAUGCACGACACACGAUUAAGGCCAAACUCGGGCCAAUCCCCAAAACGGUCGCACAACUGAAAAAUUGGCUCAAAAUGGGCCAAAAAUCGCACAGUGUAUGCCCAGCAUUUUUUCCUUUUCACUCACCUUCUUCACCCACUGGUUUUUAAUCUCUGUCUCUCUUCCACAGCACGUCUUUAUCCUGUUUUCCUUGCCCCUCCCCAACCGGUCGCAGCAGAUGGCCGCCCCUCCCUGAGCCUGGUUCUGCUGGAGGUUUCUUCCUGUUAAAAGGGAGUUUUUCCUUCCCACUGUCGCCAAAGUGCUUGCUCAUAGGGGGUCAUUUGAUUGUUGGGGUUUUCUUUGUAAGUAUACCUUACAAUAUAAGUCACCUUGAGGUGACUGUUGCCGUGAUUUGGCAAUGUAUAAAUAAAACUGAAUUGAAUUGAAAAUUGAAUGGAUGUCACUGUGAAGGGAUAUUCCCUCCAUAGAAAGCUUAGACCCAAAUGCAGAUUCAAUGCACAUGGUUAAACUAUUUAUAAGACUUUAUUUAAACUUAUACUUUGUUUAAACUUAAACUUGUUCUUUGUAGGCCUGACACUUCUUCUUUUGUCCUUCACUUGCUGAGUUUUAAGGACACACUGCACACCAUGGGUUAAUACCAUUUUAUGCCUCUUAAACUGUGUUAUCUUUGGCAUUUUUUCAUGGAUUGUAAGUGCUUACAUAUACAAUUCCAGUUCUGUUCUAAGUUGUCUGGCAUGUGUAGACAAAACACUGGUUCACCUUGUUUAUGGUAAUCUGACUCAUAUCUCUGUGUUAAGUGGUUUAAGAAACAUAAAAAAAUUCAAUUCAAUUCAAUUCAGUUUUACUUAUUACAAUUUAUUCCAAUUAUUCCACAACUAUUUGGCUUGAUUUACUCAAAGAUUCCAAUUUGAUAUAUAAGGAAGAUCAUCAGAGGACCAUUAGCAUUACAGUUACAUUAAAGAAUAAAUAGGAAACAGGUGUGUGUGAAAGUUCUUUGUGUUUUUUAUUCCUGCUGGUCAAACAGACACUUGCUGAGAAGACUGUUGGACUGAGGAGGGAAAUGAUGAGUGUGGAGUGUAUUCAUUUUAAUAUUUGAACAUUAUUAUGGAGAAAAUGAAGAAAAUAUAAAGUCUUCAUGAGCAAGAGAGAGAUUAACAUGUGCUUGUGCAGAAUUUUUAAUUUACAGUGAAAAUGUUGAGCAAAACAAUCAACCAACUUACAAAAAAACUCAUUGGAGACUCCAUUUCUAGGAGAAAAUGCUCACUUAGAUUCAUGUGAUUUUUAUUUGACAUAGCUGAGUGUGGGAUAAAACGGGUAAUCAAGCAGUUUUGGCCAGUGUGA
Molecule: long non-coding RNA, 3034 nt
Organism: Oreochromis aureus
Lineage: Eukaryota; Metazoa; Chordata; Actinopteri; Cichliformes; Cichlidae
Source: Ensembl